ACAAACUUGGUCAUUUAGAGGAAGUAAAAGUCGUAACAAGGUUUCCGUAGGUGAACCUGCGGAAGGAUCAUUAGAGAAAUCUAUAUGAAUGAAGUUAGAGGAUGUCAAGAGAUACUGUAAAAGAGGAUCUUGUUCAAGACCAGCGCUUAAUUGCGCGGUUGCGGCUUGAUUCGCCUUUUGCGGAACUUGUCUUUUGUCGUCGUUAACUCUGCUUCAACUUCUACAACACUGUGGAGUUUUCUACACAACUAUUCUUCUUUGGGGAGAUACGUCUUGAGCGUGCUCCCCAGAGGUGACAAACACAAACAACAUUUUAUUUUUAUAAACCAGUCAAAACCAAUUUCGUUAUGAAAUUAAAAAUAUUUAAAACUUUCAACAACGGAUCUCUUGGUUCUCGCAUCGAUGAAGAACGCAGC
RNAcentral lists this unclassified non-coding RNA (416 nucleotides) under uncultured fungus. RNAcentral describes it as "partial contains small subunit ribosomal RNA, internal transcribed spacer 1, and 5.8S ribosomal RNA". The stretch from base 1 to 73 matches the Rfam family "Eukaryotic small subunit ribosomal RNA", at positions 1759 to 1831 of the family's 1831-position model. The record is from RNAcentral. Lineage: Eukaryota; Fungi.